RNAcentral lists this ribosomal RNA (468 nucleotides) under uncultured bacterium. RNAcentral's name for it is "partial 16S ribosomal RNA". It matches the Rfam family "Bacterial small subunit ribosomal RNA", at positions 28 to 507 of the family's 1533-position model. The record is from RNAcentral.
GACGAACGCUGGCGGCGUGCUUAACACAUGCAAGUCGAACGGAAAGGCCCUGCUUUUGUGGGGUGCUCGAGUGGCGAACGGGUGAGUAACACGUGAGUAACCUGCCCUUGACUUUGGGAUAACUUCAGGAAACUGGGGCUAAUACCGGAUAGGAGCUCCUGCUGCAUGGUGGGGGUUGGAAAGUUUCGGCGGUUGGGGGUGGACUCGCGGCUUAUCAGCUUGUUGGUGGGGUAGUGGCUUACCAAGGCUUUGACGGGUAGCCGGCCUGAGAGGGUGACCGGCCAAAUUGGGACUGAGAUACGGCCCAGACUCCUACGGGAGGCAGCAGGGGGGAAUAUUGCACAAUGGGCGGAAGCCUGAAGCAGCAAAGCCGCGUGCGGGAUGACGGCCUUUGGGUUGUAAACCGCUUUCGCCUGUGACGAAGCGUGAGUGACGGUAAUGGGUAAAGAAGCACCGGCUAACUACGUG